GACAGAGGGUGCAAACGUUGUUCGGAAUUACUGGGCGUAAAGCGUGUGUAGGCGGCUGCGUAAGUCGGAUGUGAAAGCCCUGGGCUCAACUCAGGAAGUGCACUCGAUACUGCGUAGCUCGAGUACCGGAGAGGUUGGUGGAAUUCUCGGUGUAGAGGUGAAAUUCGUAGAUAUCGAGAGGAACACCUGUGGCGAAGGCGGCCAACUGGACGAGUACUGACACUGAGACACGAAAGCGUGGGGAGCAAACAGG
Molecule: ribosomal RNA, 253 nt
Filed under: uncultured bacterium
Lineage: Bacteria
Description: partial 16S ribosomal RNA
Rfam family: Bacterial small subunit ribosomal RNA
Source: RNAcentral